CAUGUAUGUGUGGCCUUCACCACCCAAGGUUUCGAUGCUCGGUACAACAAACUCUUUGCAGCGGUGAACGAAGGGGGAAAAGACUUCUUAACUAGGAAUUUAAGCAAGAAGCACAAGUGGGCACGCGCUCAUGACGAUGGUGGUUGGCGAUAUGGCGACAUGACGAGCAAUCUGGUAGAAUGUUUCAACAAUGUGUUGAAGGGUGCUCGUGCAUUGCCGGUGACUGCAAUAGUGGAGUACACCUUCUUCAAGCUUAAUGAGUAUUUUCAGAGGCAUUCUGAAGAGACUGUAAAAUGGGUAGGUGAAAAAAAGGAUUAUCCGGAAAAGGUUGAUGAAUGGUUGCAGUUACAAGCAAGCAAGUCUUCACGGCAACAAGUUAUCAUAUUCGAUAGAAUUGAAAUGAUCUAUCAAAUUGAUGAGCCAGGUGGCACAACACGAGACGAUAGACAAUAUGGCGGUGCUGCAUUUGAGGUGAAACUAAAGACUCGGUGGUGCCAGUGCGAGAGGCCUAGUAAGUAUCAUUGGCCAUGCUCGCAUUUGAUAACGGCGGCGAAGGCGAGAAACAUACAUGUUUGUGAUGGAAAAACCAUGUGGAUGCAAGAGUUCCAUCUGGAAGCUACUAGGUUGACAUGGGCGCCAAGAUUUCGCCCUUUCUUGGACCAAUCACAGUGGCCUGAGUACCAUGGCCCUCAUGUUAGGCCAGACCCUCUUCUGAAGGUGGAGACGAAGGGUAGAAGGAGAACUAAGAGGUUCAGGGGUGAUAUGGAUGACCUGGCUGGAUACACUGGCAUGAAACAAUUUGGUAGC
RNAcentral lists this ribosomal RNA (807 nucleotides) under Triticum aestivum (bread wheat). RNAcentral describes it as "partial small subunit ribosomal RNA". Lineage: Eukaryota; Viridiplantae; Streptophyta; Magnoliopsida; Poales; Poaceae. The record is from RNAcentral.